CGCCAGUGUUAAAUUCAGUUAACUAAAGUUCAGUUAAGCUUCAGUUAAUUAAAGUUCACUUUUAAAGUUUUAGAUUCAGCUUUUAAAGUUUAAGUUCAGGUUAGAUUCAGAUUUUUAAAGUUUAUGUUCAGGUUAGAUUCAGCUUUUAAAGUUUAAGUUCAGGUUAGAUUCAGAUUUUAAAGUUCAGGUUAGAUUUUAAAGUUCAGGUUUAAGAAAUAGAGAGAGAUAGAAGAGAGAGAUAGAGAGAUUGAGAGGAGAGAAGAAAGAUUGAGAUGUCAAGAUACAGUUUUAAGUUCAGUCAGAUUCAGGUUUAGAUUUUGAUUUACAUAAGUUCAAACUUAGGUUCGGAUUUAAAUAAGUUUAAACUUAGGUUCAAAAGAUUGAGAGGAGACAAGGGAAUAUAUUGAGAUUGAGAGAAGAGAGAUUAAGAAGAGAUUAAGGGAUUGAGAUGAGAGAGGAGAGGAGAGAUGAGAUUGAGAGGAGAGAAGAGAGAUUGAGAGGAGAGGAUGCAUAUAUAUUCAGCAUGCAUAUAGAGAGAAGAGAGAUUGAGAUUGAGGUCUACAACAUGCAUAUAUAUUCAGCAAUCAAAAAGUGAGGUUUACAACAUGCAUAUAUAUUCAGCAAUCAAAAAGUGAGGUUUACAACAUGCAUAGCGGCAUAGUGUUAAUUAAAAGAUGUACAAGGAAAAGAUAGAGUACAGUAAGAGUACUUAUCUUGAUAUGAAUUGCAGAUAUA
This 735-nucleotide long non-coding RNA is filed under the name Brachypodium distachyon (stiff brome). RNAcentral's name for it is "long non-coding RNA (BDIS_LNC000089)". Lineage: Eukaryota; Viridiplantae; Streptophyta; Magnoliopsida; Poales; Poaceae. The record is from RNAcentral.